GUUACCUGGGGAUCUUGUUAAAAUGCAGAUUCUGACUCAGUAGGCCUGGAGUGGGGCCUAAGAUUCUGCAUUUUUAACAAACUCUUAGGUGCUACUGA
This 98-nucleotide microRNA precursor is filed under the name Camelus ferus (Wild Bactrian camel). RNAcentral's name for it is "mir-544 microRNA precursor family". It matches the Rfam family "mir-544 microRNA precursor family". The record is from Rfam by way of RNAcentral. Lineage: Eukaryota; Metazoa; Chordata; Mammalia; Artiodactyla; Camelidae.